UACGUAGGGGCCGAGCGUUGUCCGGAGUUACUGGGCGUAAAGCGCGCGCAGGCGGUCGUCUAAGCCUACCGUGAAAGCCCCCGGCUCAACCGGGGAGGGUCGGUGGGGACUGGGCGACUUGAGGACGGCAGGGGCUGGUGGAAUCCCCGGUGUAGUGGUGAAAUGCGUAGAGAUCGGGGGGAACACCCGUGGCGAAGGCGGCCAGCUGGGCCGGACCUGACGCUGAGGCGCGAAGGCGUGGGGAGCGAACAGG
Molecule: ribosomal RNA, 253 nt
Filed under: uncultured bacterium
Lineage: Bacteria
Description: partial 16S ribosomal RNA
Rfam family: Bacterial small subunit ribosomal RNA
Source: RNAcentral